Molecule: long non-coding RNA, 1784 nt
Organism: Corvus hawaiiensis (hawaiian crow)
Lineage: Eukaryota; Metazoa; Chordata; Aves; Passeriformes; Corvidae
Exons: 2
Source: RefSeq, a predicted model, not a curated record
CACCGCCCGGUCCGGCCCCAGCGCUGCGGAAGCGGGGAGCGGGGAGCGGGGCACUCUGGACCUGCUAGUUGUUUUCUGCUAUGAUUGGACUUAGCACAUGAAGAAGAAAGAUCCUAAAUUCAUGCCAGCAGCAUGCAAGCUGGUGACUUCUGUUAUGGUAAUGCAGUGCAGAUAACUCUGUGUGAUCCAGCCUAUCCUUGCUCAUCUCACAUGGAUAUGUUCUUGCUGCCACCCUCUGUUGCUACCCACAACAGUUUCUCAGGGGAGAAUGAUCCCAUCAGUCCCAGGAGAAAUCUGCCACUGAGAAAGGACUAAUCUCUCCUGGAGGGCUGGGGAAUUUUUUUUUAGGAUGAAUCUACACUGCUGAGUCCAUAGGCAGAAAUGCAGUGCAGGUGCAGUCCCAAAUGGAUUGUGAAGCAGCAAGUGCAGGUGAAGGACUUGUGUGUCACCCUGCACUGCAUGUGCCGUGAACUGCCUUGCACUUUAGAGUGACCUCGGUGGUCUGUGAGUCAUUCCUCUUCUACUGCUCAUUUGUCUGCAGGAUUCAUUUCUCUGUAGCUGGUCCCAUUUCAUUGAAGAAGCAUGAGAAAAAAGAUACUGCAAUUCUGCAUUUAAAGAAUUGGUUCUUCUAACACUGAAUAAAUCCCUCAACUUAAAACCACUGUAAACCUUUUUCUUAUAACCAGGCUUUACUUCUUCUACAGGGAUGGACAGAAUUGGAGCUGGGAGAUCCAGGAACACAAUGCAGACUGAUUUUGCCUGCUGGUGAUGGAUGUGUAUAGAGUGGGAAAUAGCCAGCAUGAAGCUUGAACUGUGCUCCUUUCCUCCCCCAUAGGUCAGUCCAUGUUGCCAUGAAAUCAUGACCCAGACAUUUCCUUCUUUUAGAAUUAACGUUUUUAUUAACCUUCCCAAAAAACCCUCACCAAACCCCAACUUCCAGGGCACAAAAGCACCUAGAGAAGAUGCUGGUGCUCUUCAGCCAAACAAUACUGUGUGCAAAUUAUUAGGCCAGAAAUUUGCACAAUAAAGCAUGCCCAUCUUCAAGCAACUGGCUUUGUGUCUGUCACCUCUUCUAAGGUGACACUGAAAAAGCAGAUCAAAAGAGAAAGAAAAAGAUCUCUUCUUCUUACAAAUGAGUGUCAUUAUUCUUCAAAGCAAGGGAGGAGUGUGGGACUUUAUCACCACAAACGUACCACACUAACAUGGACACCCUUUCAGAGGAACAGCUCAUCCAGGAGAACAUACUGUACAUCCAGUUGCAGCCAAACAAUUCCAGCCUCAUUACAUAUCUUCAGGAAGCAUGAAUCCAAUGCAACCAAGACAGGGAUCUGGAUUUUUCCAGUAGCCUUCUGUCAAGAGAUAAAGCUCCACUUUUAAAGUGCAACGUCUUUUCUUUAACGUGUAUUUUCAUCUCCUGACAAUAGUUUGUUUAUUUAGUGUAUGUAAGAGACCACUUGCAGUCCAAAUUACUUGCUACUGCAGUCCAAAACCCCCACACGUUUCUUUUACUUCCAUUUAUUUUACAAAGCUUUCCUUAGGAAUAUAAUUUUUGAGGAAUGAGCAUUAUUUCUUCUAGAAUACUUCUGAAGCUGAAAGCAAAUUCCAGUUUGUUAAUGCAACUUCUAGUUUUUUAAUGCUCUUAAACAGAGUAAAAUGCAUUGCCUCACUAAAAUGUGUAGUACUGUUUAUUGGGAUUUACUACAUUCUAUUUCAAAUUAGUUUCUGUCCCAAGUGGUGCCCUCUCCAAUGCUGGCCUUCUUUGUAAUAAACCCUAUUUGUGCUCA